AGUGAACGCUGGCGGUAGGCCUAACACAUGCAAGUCGAACGGCAGCACAGUAAGAGCUUGCUCUUACGGGUGGCGAGUGGCGGACGGGUGAGGAAUACAUCGGAAUCUACUUUUUCGUGGGGGAUAACGUAGGGAAACUUACGCUAAUACCGCAUACGACCUACGGGUGAAAGCAGGGGAUCUUCGGACCUUGCGCGAUUGAAUGAGCCGAUGUCGGAUUAGCUAGUUGGCGGGGUAAAGGCCCACCAAGGCGACGAUCCGUAGCUGGUCUGAGAGGAUGAUCAGCCACACUGGAACUGAAACACGGUCCAGACUCCUACGGGAGGCAGCAGUGGGGAAUAUUGGACAAUGGGCGCAAGCCUGAUCCAGCCAUACCGCGUGGGUGAAGAAGGCCUUCGGGUUGUAAAGCCCUUUUGUUGGGAAAGAAAAGCAGCAGGUUAAUACCCCGCUGUUCUGACGGUACCCAAAGAAUAAGCACCCGCUAACUUCGUG
Molecule: ribosomal RNA, 492 nt
Filed under: uncultured bacterium
Lineage: Bacteria
Description: partial 16S ribosomal RNA
Rfam family: Bacterial small subunit ribosomal RNA
Source: RNAcentral